AUUGUAUCCACGAUUGGGGAAUUUUCCGCAAUGGGCGAAAGCCUGACGGAGCAAUACCGCGUGAGGGAGGAAGGUCUGUGGAUUGUAAACCUCUUUUGAUAGGGAAGAAGUUCUGACGGUACCUAUCGAAUCAGCAUCGGCUAACUCCGUGCCAGCAGCCGCGGUAAUACGGAGGAUGCAAGCGUUAUCCGGAUUUAUUGGGCGUAAAGCGUCCGUAGGUGGUUAUUCAAGUCUAUUGUCAAAGCCUGGGGCUUAACCCUGGAGAGGCGGUGGAAACUGAAUAACUAGAGUGCGGUAGGGGCAGAGGGAAUUCCCAGUGUAGCGGUGAAAUGCGUAGAGAUCGGAAAGAACACCAACGGCGAAAGCACUCUGCUGGGCCGACACUGACACUGAGAGACGAAAGCUAGGGGAGCGAAUGGGAUUAGAUACCCCAGUAGUCAAUCGUGGAUACAAU
This 454-nucleotide ribosomal RNA is filed under the name uncultured cyanobacterium. RNAcentral describes it as "bacterial SSU rRNA". It matches the Rfam family "Bacterial small subunit ribosomal RNA", at positions 341 to 810 of the family's 1533-position model. The record is from RNAcentral. Lineage: Bacteria; Bacillati; Cyanobacteriota.